This 78-nucleotide ribosomal RNA is filed under the name Glaucocystis nostochinearum. RNAcentral's name for it is "partial LSU ribosomal RNA". It matches the Rfam family "Eukaryotic large subunit ribosomal RNA", at positions 1 to 78 of the family's 3401-position model. RNAcentral also lists the same sequence under 1 other name. Lineage: Eukaryota; Glaucocystophyceae; Glaucocystales; Glaucocystaceae. The record is from RNAcentral.
UGACCUGAAAUCAAGCAAGAAAACCCGCUGAACUUAAGCAUAUUAAUAAGCGGAGGAAAAGAAACUAACAAGGAUUCC